GAUGAACGCUAGCGGCAGGCCUAACACAUGCAAGUCGAGGGAGGAGCUUUCGGGCUUCGACCGGCGUACGGGUGCGUAACGCGUAUACAAUCUGCCUUUCACAUAGGGAUAGCCCGAAGAAAUUUGGAUUAAUACCUAAUGGUAUAUAGGAGUGGCAUCACAUUUAUAUUAAAGCUGAGGCGGUGAAAGAUGAGUAUGCGUUCUAUUAGCUAGUUGGAGAGGUAACGGCUCCCCAAGGCGACGAUAGAUAGGGGUUCUGAGAGGGAUAUCCCCCACACUGGUACUGAGGUACGGACCAGACUCCUACGGGAGGCAGCAGUGAGGAAUAUUGGACAAUGGUCGGAAGACUGAUCCAGCCAUGCCGCGUGCAGGAAGACGGCCUUAUGGGUUGUAAACUGCUUUUGCAGGGGAAGAAUAAGGACUACGAGUAGUUUGAUGACGGUACUCUGCGAAUAAGCAUCGGCUAACUCCGUG
This 474-nucleotide ribosomal RNA is filed under the name uncultured bacterium. RNAcentral describes it as "partial 16S ribosomal RNA". It matches the Rfam family "Bacterial small subunit ribosomal RNA", at positions 28 to 507 of the family's 1533-position model. The record is from RNAcentral.